CGCAGGCUGGCCUGUAGGCAUCUCGUGAAAUCCCACGGCUCAACCGUGGAACUGCGGGGUGAACCACAGGCCUUGAGGUAGGUAGGGGUCAUCGGAACGUACGGUGGAGCGGUGAAAUGCAUAGAUAUCGUACGGAACGCCGAAGGUGAAGACAGGUGACUGGGCCUAUUCUGACGCUCAUGGACGAAAGCGUGGGGAUCAAACAGGAUUAGAUACCCUGGUAGUCCACGCCGUAAACGAUGCGCACUGGGUCGGUGUCCCUUCGACGGGUUGCCGGCCGUAGAGAAAUUGUUAAGUGCGCCGCCUGGGGAGUACGGUCGCAAGGCUAAAACUCAAAGGAAUUGACGGGGGCUCACACAAGCGGUGGAGCAUGUUGCUUAAUUCGAAGCAACGCGAAGAACCUUACCUGGGCUUGACAUGCACGGAUCAGCUCUUGGAAACAUGAGUGACGCCUUCGGGUGGAACGUGCACAGGUGCUGCAUGGCUGUCGUCAGCUCGUGCUGUGAAGUGUUGGGUUAAGUCCUUUAACGAGCGCAACCCUUGUCGCUAGUUGCCAGCGAGUAAUGUCGGGGACUCUAGCGAGACUGCCGGUGUCAAACCGGAGGAAGGUGGGGAUGACGUCAAGUCCUCAUGGCCCUUACGCCCAGGGAUGCAAACGUGCUACAAUGGUAGAUACAGAGCGAUGCGAGACCGCGAGGUGGAGCAAAUCGCAAAAAGUCUGCCCCAGUUCGGAUUGCAGUCUGCAACUCGACUGCAUGAAGUUGGAAUCGCUAGUAAUCGGAGAUC
Molecule: ribosomal RNA, 786 nt
Filed under: uncultured Planctomycetota bacterium
Lineage: Bacteria; Pseudomonadati; Planctomycetota
Description: bacterial SSU rRNA
Rfam family: Bacterial small subunit ribosomal RNA
Source: RNAcentral